UAUCUGUUCUAAUCAGUGUGAAAACUGGUUUUCGCCUUUUGGCGGACUUUUUCACUCGCAUUUUUGGGCAAUCGUCUGCGGCUAGCUUGCUAGCGGCGGACGAGCGGUCUCCGGGGGCGUACACCUUUCCCCCGCGAGGCCA
RNAcentral lists this small nuclear RNA (142 nucleotides) under Phytophthora infestans T30-4. Its description in RNAcentral is "U2 spliceosomal RNA". It matches the Rfam family "U2 spliceosomal RNA", at positions 37 to 185 of the family's 192-position model. Rfam says of the family: U2 is a small nuclear RNA (snRNA) component of the spliceosome (involved in pre-mRNA splicing). Lineage: Eukaryota; Oomycota; Peronosporomycetes; Peronosporales; Peronosporaceae. The record is from RNAcentral.